RNAcentral lists this ribosomal RNA (492 nucleotides) under uncultured bacterium. RNAcentral's name for it is "partial 16S ribosomal RNA". It matches the Rfam family "Bacterial small subunit ribosomal RNA", at positions 29 to 507 of the family's 1533-position model. The record is from RNAcentral.
AGUGAACGCUGGCGGUAUGCCUAACACAUGCAAGUCGAACGGCAGCACAGUUACUGCUUGCUCUUACCGGGUGCGAGUGGCGGACGUGUGAGGUAUACAACGUGCUCUACUUUUUCGUGUGGGCUAGCGUAGGUAGACUUACGCUAAUACCGCAUACUGCCUACGGUGGAAAGCAGGAGAGCUUCUGACCUUGCGCGAAUGAAUGAGCCUAUGACGGAUUUGCUAGUUUGGUGGGUAAAGGCCCCCCAAGGCGGCGAUCGGUAGCUGGUCUCGGAGGAUGAUCAGCCACACUAGAACGGAGACACGGUCCAGACUACUACGGGAGGGAGCAGUGGGGAAUAUUGGACAAUAGUCGCAAGCAUGAUCCAGCCAUACCGCGUCGGUGAAGAAGGCCUUGGGGUUGUAAAGCCCUUUUGUUGGGAAAGAAAAGCAGCAGGUUAAUACCACGCUGUUGUGACGGUACCCAAAGAAUAAGCACCGGCUAACUUCGUG